GAUGAACGCUGGCGGCAUGCCUAACACAUGCAAGUCGAACGGACCUUUAUUUUUGAGAGUUCCUUUAUAGAAAUUCUCAAAAAUACUGGUUAGUGGCGGACGGGUGAGUAACACGUUGGUACCUACCCUCUAGUGGGGAAUAACUUCGAGAAAUCGAGGCUAAUACCGCAUGUGGUCUACGGAUCAAAGCAGUAAAUGCGCUAGAGGAGGGCCUGCGUCUGAUUAGCUUGUUGGUGAGGUAAAAGCUCACCAAGGCGACGAUCAGUAGCUGGAUCGAGAGGUUGACCAGCCACACUGGGACUGAGAUACGGCCCAGACUCCUACGGGAGGCAGCAGUGAGGAAUCUUCCACAAUGGACGAAAGUCUGAUGGAGCAAUGCCGCGUGCAGGAUGACGGCCUUCGGGUUGUAAACUGCUUUAUAUGGGAAGAUUAUGUACGGUACCGAUAUGAAUAAGACCGGCUAACUACGUGCCAGCAGCCGCGGU
RNAcentral lists this ribosomal RNA (485 nucleotides) under uncultured bacterium. Its description in RNAcentral is "bacterial SSU rRNA". It matches the Rfam family "Bacterial small subunit ribosomal RNA", at positions 28 to 521 of the family's 1533-position model. The record is from RNAcentral.